GUGGAAUUGGGAGCCUUUUAAAGGAGAUUAAAAAAAAAAGUCUUUUGUGAGAAUAAGCCCAGAAAUGCAUUGUAAAUAGUUGCUUAGUUGCUGUGUAAAGAUAAGAGUCAGCUUAAAGAUCUCUAAAGUUGAAAUAUAUGUGGUUUUGUAUGUUCCUCUGGUUUAGCACAAAGCAUAGGAGUGGAAAAAGCAAAUAUUGAGUGUUUGGUUAAAAGGGGAAAAAGACAAAGACAUAGAGACAUUCAAGAAGACCACAUUGAAAUGUAUAAUCUUGUGCCAAGAAGAGUCUAUUAAGGCAGUUUCCUGUGAAGAAAUGGUGUGAGUGAUGUGGAAGGGAGUUGAAUGAUUUUAGAUUUUGAUGAUGACAAAGAACAUGUUAGUGUUGCUAAGGGAAUGAUAACUAGGAGACUGUGGUCACUGUGAUAACCACUCAAUGCUAAAUGAUGAUUGAGAACCAGAGAAAGGAGAGGGUUGGAGUUUGGAAAGAAGCUUGUCUUUUGUAACCGUCUAUAUACUCUCUCCUCCAGUCUUUUCAUGAGUGUAGGAAGUCAAACUAUGUGAGAGAGAAUUGUAGAAAGCAUGGAAGCAAUUCCAUGCAUCCGCAGAUGGGCACCUGGGGAAUCCUGGGUCAGGUUUCCGGUGAGUUGAAAAUGAUCAAAGGAAAACUUCCUUCCUCAAAGCAUCGUAGGAGGACAUGGAAGCAGAGUGCUGGGGAGGACCAGGAAAAGCCAGGGAUGAGAUGAGACAGCUAUAAGUAAGCAGCCCCAGUGAGUGUGAAGGAUUGGUAGAAAUGUUACUGAUGAUGUGAAAGAUUUAGACAGAGGGAUUAGGUAUGGUGUAUGAUGAGUUUGGUAGUUGAGGAGCCCUUAUUACAGGUAAUAUAGCUUCUCCCAAGCUCACUUGCAAACUGGAAGGCUUUUUUAAAAAUGGGCUUCCACCUAUGAAGGGAAAGCAUCUGCUCUUACAUAGUUGGAUUAGGUCAUUCUGCUUUAUUUAUAUAUCAAAUAAGAAUUAAGGUACUGGUGAACAGUAGAGAUAAAGUAAGAAUUUUAUUGUAACAGGUUAUAAAAAUAUUUUGAUAAUUUCCCCCAAAGAGAAUGUACUAUGAAUAAAUAAAAUCUACAAAUUAUUGGGCUAAUUUACCCUUGUUUCUUAUAUUUUGUAUACUUAGGAGGUGACCUCUAGGAAAAAAUUGCUGAAGAGGUAGUAGAGCAGGGUGAAGAUACCGUAUACUGUCAUCCCUAGGUAUCUGUAGGGGAUUGGUUCCACAGAUUGCAAAAUUCUUGGAUUCUCAAGUCCUCGAUAUAAGACAGUGUAGUAUUUGCAUAUGACCUGCACAUAUAUGGGAGGCCGUAUAUUUUAAAUAAUCUCUAGAUUACUUCUAAUACCUAUUACAAUGUAAGUGCUAUGUAAAUAGUUGUUAUAUUGUUUAGAGACUGACGAAAACUGCAUGCUUAAUAAAUUACACAAUUUUUUAAA
Molecule: long non-coding RNA, 1479 nt
Filed under: Homo sapiens (human)
Lineage: Eukaryota; Metazoa; Chordata; Mammalia; Primates; Hominidae
Description: LHRI_LNC1343.1
Source: RNAcentral